Long non-coding RNA from Talpa occidentalis (Iberian mole), 600 nucleotides. RefSeq lists it as uncharacterized. Lineage: Eukaryota; Metazoa; Chordata; Mammalia; Eulipotyphla; Talpidae. The record is from RefSeq and is a predicted model, not a curated record. The transcript has 3 exons.
ACACGAUGCAAGGAACAAAAUGGGUUCCCCGGCGACUUUUUGAGAAAAUACAGACAGAAAUAAAAAGGCUGCCCAGAAACAAUAUCUCACAUGUCACAGGCUCGGUACUCUGGAGUCCUGUGUUAACUGAAAACCCAUUUUGAUGUUUGGUUCUAAAUCCAUGAUGAUGAGUCUCCAUUUCUUUUUCUUCUCCAUUCCCAAGUGUGCUUUACAAGUCAAACAGGGAGCAGCAGACCCAGGAGCAUGGCCUUGGAAACCUAGAAGAAAAGUGACAUUUAAAUGUACAGAAAGAAGAGCCCUGGAGGAGAAGUCAGGAGAGAAGCAAAAAGAAGUUUGAGGAGCACGUGGACCCUCAGAGAAAGACUCCUCCUCUGUCUCCAUCCAAGGUUUUCUGAUCCUUCUUCGUAAGACUGAGCAUCUGGAGGGCGAGGACCAUUGCUACCCUCUUGCAUAUUGUGAGACCCCAGAAAGCCCAGGGCAAUAUUCACUGGGUGAAGACAGCAGAUUCGCUUAGCAAUGGUUCAGCACAUUUACACUGACCAUGAAGCUGGUUUCCUAUGGCUGCUGUAAUAAAUUCUCGAACUUGGUAAAACCUUCAAA